Molecule: ribosomal RNA, 252 nt
Filed under: uncultured bacterium
Lineage: Bacteria
Description: partial 16S ribosomal RNA
Rfam family: Bacterial small subunit ribosomal RNA
Source: RNAcentral
UACAGAGGUCUCAAGCGUUGUUCGGAUUCAUUGGGCGUAAAGGGUGUGUAGGUGGCGCGCUAAGUCGGGUGUGAAAUUUCGGAGCUUAACUCCGAAACUGCAUUCGAUACUGCGGUGCUUGAGGACUGGAGAGGAGACUGGAAUUCAUGGUGUAGCAGUGAAAUGCGUAGAGAUCAUGAGGAAGACCAGGGGCGAAGGCGGGUCUCGGGACAGUUCCUGACACUGAGGCACGAAGGCCAGGGAGCAAACGGG